RNAcentral lists this non-coding RNA (316 nucleotides) under Drosophila ananassae. RNAcentral's name for it is "Eukaryotic large subunit ribosomal RNA". It matches the Rfam family "Eukaryotic large subunit ribosomal RNA", at positions 3131 to 3401 of the family's 3401-position model. Lineage: Eukaryota; Metazoa; Arthropoda; Insecta; Diptera; Drosophilidae. The record is from Rfam by way of RNAcentral.
UAAGGUCGUAUCCGUGCUGGACUGCAAUGAUAAAUAAGGGGCAAUUUGCAUUGUAUGGCUUCUAAACCAUUUAAAGUUUAUUAUUUAUAUUUUAAACGACAAUGGAUGUGAUGCCAAUGUAAUUUGUAACAUAGUAAAUUGGGAGGAUCUUUGAUCACCUGGUGCCAUGCUAGUUACAUAUGAAAACAUUAUUUAAUACAAUGACAAAGCCUAGAAUCAAUUGUAAACGACUUUUGUAACGGGCAAGGUGUUGUAAGUGGUUGAGCAGCUGCCAUACUGCGAUCCACUGAAGCUUAUCCUUUGCUUGAUGAUUCGA